This is a long non-coding RNA of Salvia splendens (bonfire salvia), 692 nucleotides long. RefSeq lists it as uncharacterized. The record is from RefSeq and is a predicted model, not a curated record. Lineage: Eukaryota; Viridiplantae; Streptophyta; Magnoliopsida; Lamiales; Lamiaceae. The transcript is spliced from 2 exons.
CCAGGGAGUUAAAUAAAGAAAUAAGGGUUGGACUUUUUUACUUCAACCAUUUGAGCCACGGGUUCUUUUAAGUUUGGGCCACUGCCCUAAAUAAAUAAGGCAUUGGAAUUUAAGUUUCCUUUAGGCUAUGAAAAAUGUCAUACCAUGUUUUGUUUAUGAUUACCUACUUAUUGCUAUGUCAAUCAUGUUAAAUCGAAUUCGGGUCCCAGUAGGGUCGCAAAUCGAAUUCACACAAGAUCAGAUAUGGUAUGUUAUGUGACUGCGCAGUCAAAUCUAUGAAAUGAUAAAGGAUUUAGUGACCGAGGAUUUAUUUAAAACAAAAAGCCCACGAUCAUUCAAGUAUGACUGACAACUAAAUAAGAACUGUUUUUGGCACUAAGUCCACGGGGUAUAUCAAAUACUCAGCCCUGCAUGUUUGUUUUUUCCUAACGUGCAGGUUGAUCGUGAUCGGAGCGAGAAGGUGUUGGGAGAGCCUUAUUAAUAAGUAGCUAGGUUGAGCGACGAUGAGCUGGGUGAUGUUGAGCUUAUAUUGAAGUCUUGCUGGUUAUUAUUUGAAUUCCGAGUGUCGUCGUGUCUUCAUAUAUGACGUCACUCUUUCUCUUGAACGCUUUCGCUGAAUUAUGACUAUUUUUCUCCAUUAUGUUCUGAACCCCGUUUACUCUUGAAUUAUAAAUGAUGAUAAUUUGUUGUCA